GGGGGAUUUAGGGUCACUGCUCCCAAGGCAUGGUCUGGAGGAAGUGAUGCAGGCUCCAGGUGGGCACACCUGCAUGACUCCCUCAGUUUGCCUUGAGGUAAGAAGCACAACCAGCAGACAACUUGGGAGCUCCUGUUUCCAGGGUCUUAGAGCUGUAUUUCUCUUACCUGUUCUAAUCUCCACUAAAUCCCAUUCUUACAUGUAUAUAGUCUUGCUAUCUGUUCUUCUGAGCAUUUUUAAUGUAUAUUUUCCUUCUGAGGAUUUUAAUGAAUGAAAAUGUGGAAUAUAAAUACACUAUUUGUUGAAAGGGGGGGAGGUUGGAUGAGGUGGGCAUAUGGUAGAUGUUACUGGAAGAGAUGGAAUGAUUGUCAAAAGAGACCCAUGGGCUUCUCCGGGAUUAGUAGACUUCUCCACACUCAGCAGCCCUAGUUUGCUGAGGUAGAAGAUCUGCCAUCCAGAUCUUUGCCUGGAGACCUUGACUUCUGGAAAUGCAUGUGGUUCAGCACUAGCAGCUUUUCAGCCUGUUUUCUUCUUUAGCCACAAUACCCAGGAAUUCUAGAGAAACUCCUCAAGCAUGCACAGAAGCAGUCCUUCUUUUACUGGGCCAGAUAUAGCUGGGGAACCAGAAGACUCUUGAAGCUAAAAAAUACUUGUCCUAUAAUCCCCCUCUCUUCUUCAGAAAAGCUCUUUCCAACUUCCUCUGUGUCCUGACUGCCAUGAAGUGAACAGCUUUUCUCCACCACACAGUUCUGCCAUGAUGUUUGUGCCUUGGAGCAAACUCACUGUGGACUGAGACCUCUGAAACCAUGAGCCAAAAUAAACCUUCUCUCCUUUAA
Cavia porcellus (domestic guinea pig) is the source of this 836-nucleotide long non-coding RNA. RefSeq lists it as uncharacterized. The record is from RefSeq and is a predicted model, not a curated record. Lineage: Eukaryota; Metazoa; Chordata; Mammalia; Rodentia; Caviidae. The transcript has 2 exons.